GACGAACGCUGGCGGCGUGCUUAACACAUGCAAGUCGAACGGAAAGGCCCUGCUUUUGUGGGGUGCUCGAGUGGCGAACGGGUGAGUAACACGUGAGUAACCUGCCCUUGACUUUGGGAUAACUUCAGGAAACUGGGGCUAAUACCGGAUAGGAGCUCCCGCUGCGUGGUGGGGGUUGGAAAGUUUCGGCGGUUGGGGAUGGACUCGCGGCUUAUCAGCUUGUUGGUGGGGUAGUGGCUUACCAAGGCUGUGACGGGUAGCCGGCCUGAGAGGGUGACCGGCCACAUUGGGACUGAGGUACGGCCCAGACUGCUACGGGAGGCAGCAGUGGGGAAUAUUGCACAGUGGGCGGAAGCCUGAUGCAGCAGCGCCGCGUGCGGGAUGACGGCCUUCGGGUUGUAAACCGCUUUCGCCUGUGACGAAGCGUGAGUGACGGUAAUGGGUAAAGAAGCACCGGCUAACUACGUG
Molecule: ribosomal RNA, 468 nt
Filed under: uncultured bacterium
Lineage: Bacteria
Description: partial 16S ribosomal RNA
Rfam family: Bacterial small subunit ribosomal RNA
Source: RNAcentral